Molecule: ribosomal RNA, 309 nt
Filed under: uncultured bacterium
Lineage: Bacteria
Description: partial 16S ribosomal RNA
Rfam family: Bacterial small subunit ribosomal RNA
Source: RNAcentral
AGAGACAGCAGUAGCCACGGGAAUACGAAGGGUGCAAGCGUUACUCGGAAUUACUGGGCGUAAAGCGUGCGUAGGUGGUGGUUUAAGUCCGUUGUGAAAGCCCUGGGCUCAACCUGGGAAUUGCAGUGGAUACUGGGUCACUAGAGUGUGGUAGAGGAUAGUGGAAUUUCCGGUGUAGCAGUGAAAUGCGUAGAGAUCGGAAGGAACAUCUGUGGCGAAGGCGACUAUCUGGGCCAACACUGACACUGAGGCACGAAAGCGUGGGGAGCAAACAGGAUUAGAGACCCCCGUAGUCCCUGUCUCUUAUAC